UUGACCCGUCUUGAAACACGGACCAAGGAGUCUAACAUGUGCGCGAGUCAUUGGGUCUUGAUUAGGCCCAAAGGCGUAAUGAAAGUGAAGGGCGGUUCGGCCGUCUGCCUUGGGAUCCCGUGGACCUAGCGUUCGCGGGCGCACCAAGGGCCCGUCCCGGUCGCCUCGUCGACGGGGCGGAGCAAGAGCGUACACGUUGGGACCCGAAAGAUGGUGAACUAUGCCUGGGCAGGACGAAGCCAGAGGAAACUCUGGUCUGCCGAAGCAACUAGCCCUGAAAAUGGAUGGCGCUUCAGCGUCUACCCCAUAUCAAGCCGCUGCGGCCGAAAAGCCUCGUGUUUUAAGCCGCAGUGAGUAGGAGGGGCGCGGAGGCGAGCGUCGAAGGUGCCGGGCGUAAGCCCGCCUGGAGCCGCCUCCGGCGCAGAUCUUGGUGGUAGUAGCAAAUACUCAAGUGAGAACCUUGAGGACUGAGGUGGAGAAGGGUUCCAUGUGAACAGCAGUUGAACAUGGGUCAGUCGGUCCUAAGGGAUAGGAGAAAUCCGUUCCGAGGCGGGACCUCUCUAAGCAAGUCCCGCUGAUGACCGAAAGGGAAUCGGGUUAAUAUUCCCGAACCCGGACACGGAGAUCGUCCUUUUCGGAGGUACAUUGCGGUAACGCAAACGAGCUCGGAGACGUCGACGGGAGCACCGGGAAGAGUUAUCUUUUCUUUGUAAGGAUUCGACUCCCUGGAAUCGGCUCGCCCGGAGAUAGGGAUGGUGUUCCGUAAAGCACCGCGCCUCUUGCGGUGUCCGGAUCGCUCCCGUC
RNAcentral lists this ribosomal RNA (804 nucleotides) under Spinicrus sp. SV-2014. Its description in RNAcentral is "eukaryotic LSU rRNA". It matches the Rfam family "Eukaryotic large subunit ribosomal RNA", at positions 644 to 1799 of the family's 3401-position model. Lineage: Eukaryota; Metazoa; Arthropoda; Arachnida; Opiliones; Neopilionidae. The record is from RNAcentral.